CCUACGGGAGGCAGCAGUGGGGAAUAUUGCACAAUGGGGGGAACCCUGAUGCAGCGACGCCGCGUGAGUGAAGAAGUAUUUCGGUAUGUAAAGCUCUGUCAGCAGGGAAGAAGAAAGACGGUACCUGACCAAGAAGCACCGGCUAACUACGUGCCAGCAGCCGCGGUAAUACGUAGGGGGCCAGCGUUAUCCGGAUUUACUGGGUGUAAAGGGAGCGUAGACGGCAGGGCAAGUCUGGAGUGAAAGGCACGGGCUCAACCCCUGGAUUGCCUUGGAUACUGUCCGGCUGGAGUGCUGGAGAGGUAAGUGGAAUGCCUAGUGUAGCGGUGAAAUGCGUAGAUAUUAGGAGGAACACCAGUGGCGAAGGCGGCCUACUGGACUAAAACUGACGUUGAGGCUCGAAAGCGUGGGGAGCAAACAGGAUUAGAUACCCGGGUAGUC
RNAcentral lists this ribosomal RNA (441 nucleotides) under uncultured bacterium. RNAcentral's name for it is "partial 16S ribosomal RNA". It matches the Rfam family "Bacterial small subunit ribosomal RNA", at positions 338 to 795 of the family's 1533-position model. The record is from RNAcentral.